Gadus morhua (Atlantic cod) is the source of this 144-nucleotide long non-coding RNA. RefSeq lists it as uncharacterized. The transcript has 3 exons. Lineage: Eukaryota; Metazoa; Chordata; Actinopteri; Gadiformes; Gadidae. The record is from RefSeq and is a predicted model, not a curated record.
GAAACAUCACACAGAUCCCAUCAACAGGAUCUAGGAUGCUCUCUAUCCUUUUGUUCGCUGCGGCUUGGGUUGCCUGCCUGGCAAAACUUCUGGAUGAGAAGAUGACUGGAUCCUGGAGACUAUUUGUGCUCUGUAGUCUCCUGC